Long non-coding RNA from Glycine soja, 2284 nucleotides. RefSeq lists it as uncharacterized. Lineage: Eukaryota; Viridiplantae; Streptophyta; Magnoliopsida; Fabales; Fabaceae. The record is from RefSeq and is a predicted model, not a curated record. The transcript has 7 exons.
AGUGUAGACUUUAAAAUCAUUGACUUUUGGGUCAAUCCAAUGACGAAUGACUACAAGGGGAACAUGAUUGAUGAUCCAAUAAUCUUGUUCAUUUUCCAGAACAACGCUCUCAACAAAUUCAGUUGGCAUAUUAAGAAAGUCAAGAACUUUAAGGUUAACCAAGGCUUUGAUGCCCGAGGGUACCUUCUUGAGAUGAGUGAUUUUGAUUAUUGCAAAAGAUUCAAGACAAGGCAAGGAGUAUCUAUCUAUAAGGAUAAAUUCUACUCUAUUCAAGCGAGAGAGAGCUCCAGUCCACUUUGAAAAUGCAAAAUUUCACCAUCAUAGGCAUUGUCCCACAAACUAAGUUUCAACAAAUGUGGCAACUUAUCUAGCCAUCUUAACGGAUCAUCUUUCAAAUUGGAUAAAGCCAACAUUAAGUAAAUAAGACAGUCAAGUUUUGAAAUCCAAUUAGGCAUCUUCUCCAAUCUUGCUUUCAAUUUAAGUCGUCGAAGUUGGGAUAUGGAUGAUAUAGAGUUCAAGCCAAUGAUUUCAUCCUCAUUUAUUGCAGUGAUAUCAAGUGAUUCCAGAUUAGGUCUAUUCCCCAUGAUCUACCUCCACGACCGCAGUUACGGGGGUGAGGGAGUGUAAGGUGAAGUCAGUGAAGCCGGGAAAAGCUGAUGAUGGAGGUGGAUCUGGUGCUCGGCAUUAGUUAGGUCGAUUUUGUUUUUCCGGUUCGGAUAUGGAUUCAGAGGAUUUUUGAUCCAUUAUGGAGAGCGCAGGCGUCCACAUUUGGGCCUUCAUGGAUGCCACCAUCGCGGUAGCCUCUGUCAACCAUGCCGCUGACUUGAAGCGCUGGAGAGAUAGAAUCAUUGAGUGCCUUUAGGCUGCCAGUUCACCGCCGCCGCAAUGUCGGAACUGCGAUGUCGGCAAUGGCGGACAAAUCAGGACGCAGAGCAGUUCCUCUGCGGAGGAGGAAAAGGAUCCUUAUGGAGGCUUGUUCGAAGACGAGCAGAGGAAGAUUCUAGACAUUAAAGAGAAACUCGAAGACCCUCACCAAAUCUUAUUUCUCUUAAUUUCACAAUUUAUGAGUUUUUUGUUCGCUUAAUCGUGUUUUUGAUUUUGUGUUUUUUUUUCUUUUUUAUUAUCAUUUAUCAGUCUGAAGAUUGGUUUGUGGAGUUUUUGAAUUAUCAAAGAGACAAAGAAAAAGAAAUUUUAACCCGGAUAGAUUUGCUUCAGCCAGAAAACGGCUUCAGGAGAACUACAAAGAUGUUGUAAAUGUCCAAGAAGCACAUUAAUACAAGACAUGCAAAGUGGUGUUGUUACUUCUCUCUACUAACUUUGUUGCAUCUUAAGGAUAGUCAAGAAAGUGUUAUGUCAGAAGAUAAUUAUAGCAGUUCAAAUUUGGCUUUAAGACUACUUGCCAGGCAAAUAGAAUUCAAGAUGAGUUGGAACCCACACAUGGAGGUCCGUUACAAUAACAUUAGCUAUCCCUACAGUGCAGCAUGAAGCUUUAUUGAAUAUGUUGAAGAUCUUACAUACGAACAUGUUAACUUCAUUUUUUUCUAGUGCCUCACAUGCUCAGUUUGAAAAAGCAGCUGACCCCGAGCUUCCUGGGCAUCUUCUGCUGGAACAAUAUCGGGUAUUUGACAAGAUGUGCCAAAUUGAUUUCCACACCAAAAUUUCAUUUCUUGUCAACCAAGGGAGGGAUCAUUUAUUUAAUUCACAUUUCCUUUUUGUUAAGAGGUCCUAUAUAAUGUGUCAUUUUUAUGGUUAAGUAGAUUAUGAAUUUUGUGAUUCACUUGGAAUAACUGAAACUGUACUAAAUAUAGGCCCAACUAGUAUCUGCAGUUCGUACUACCUUGGACACAUCUUCUAGUCCUAGCUUACUGGAGGCAGGUUUGCACUUGGCUACCAAGGAAAAUAUUGGUAGAAAGUGGCUGAAGAAGGCAGAAAGAAAACGAAUUCUAUAAUGCUUGCUGACAAGAAUGCCCCAAAUAAAGAAGUUUGGAGACUUGUGGUAUUUAUGUUCAUCUUGGAUGGCCAAGAUACGGUAGUGUCAUGACAAACAAGGGCAUCUGCUGUACCAGUUGUACUUGAAUCUGAAGGUUAUGUUUUGUUGUCAGUUCUGAAUUGUUUGUAUUGACUAAGUCAAUGUUUUUGUUGUUAAGUGAGAAAAUAUUGUCACUUCUAAUUGAUUGAAAAAGUCUAUUUAAAUGCAUACUACAUAAUUGGGCUUAAGGCCUUAAUGCCCAAUAUCACAAGUAUUACUAAUAUACUCUAAUAGCAAUAGUUCUAACAGUUUUUU